Molecule: ribosomal RNA, 253 nt
Filed under: uncultured bacterium
Lineage: Bacteria
Description: partial 16S ribosomal RNA
Rfam family: Bacterial small subunit ribosomal RNA
Source: RNAcentral
CACGUAGGGUGCGAGCGUUGUCCGGAAUUAUUGGGCGUAAAGAGCUCGUAGGCGGUCCGUCACGUCGGAUGUGAAAUUCCAGGGCUCAACCCUGGACCUGCAUUCGAUACGGGCGGACUAGAGUUCGGUAGGGGAGACUGGAAUUCCUGGAGUAGCGGUGAAAUGCGCAGAUAUCAGGAGGAACACCGGUGGCGAAGGCGGGUCUCUGGGCUGACACUGACGCUCAUGCACGAAAGCGUGGGGAGCAAACAGG